This 551-nucleotide ribosomal RNA is filed under the name Streptomyces zaomyceticus. RNAcentral's name for it is "bacterial SSU rRNA". It matches the Rfam family "Bacterial small subunit ribosomal RNA", at positions 119 to 684 of the family's 1533-position model. Lineage: Bacteria; Bacillati; Actinomycetota; Actinomycetes; Kitasatosporales; Streptomycetaceae. The record is from RNAcentral.
GGGCAAUCUGCCCUUCACUCUGGGACAAGCCCUGGAAACGGGGUCUAAUACCGGAUAACACCGGCUUCCGCAUGGGAGCUGGUUGAAAGCUCCGGCGGUGAAGGAUGAGCCCGCGGCCUAUCAGCUUGUUGGUGGGGUAAUGGCCUACCAAGGCGACGACGGGUAGCCGGCCUGAGAGGGCGACCGGCCACACUGGGACUGAGACACGGCCCAGACUCCUACGGGAGGCAGCAGUGGGGAAUAUUGCACAAUGGGCGAAAGCCUGAUGCAGCGACGCCGCGUGAGGGAUGACGGCCUUCGGGUUGUAAACCUCUUUCAGCAGGGAAGAAGCGAAAGUGACGGUACCUGCAGAAGAAGCGCCGGCUAACUACGUGCCAGCAGCCGCGGUAAUACGUAGGGCGCAAGCGUUGUCCGGAAUUAUUGGGCGUAAAGAGCUCGUAGGCGGCUUGUCACGUCGGGUGUGAAAGCCCGGGGCUUAACCCCGGGUCUGCAUCCGAUACGGGCAGGCUAGAGUGUGGUAGGGGAGAUCGGAAUUCCUGGUGUAGCGGUGA